AAAGUUUUCGGAUGGAUUGCUGAGUGGCGGACGGGUGAGUAACGCGUGGAUACCUGCCUCACACUGGGGGAUAACAGUUAGAAAUGACUGCUAAUACCGCAUAAGACCGCAUGGUAAAAACUCCGGUGGUGUGAGAUGGAUCCGCGUCUGAUUAGCCAGUUGGCGGGGUAACGGCCCACCAAAGCGACGAUCAGUAGCCGACCUGAGAGGGUGACCGGCCACAUUGGGACUGAGACACGGCCCAGACUCCUACGGGAGGCAGCAGUGGGGGAUAUUGCACAAUGGGGGAAACCCUGAUGCAGCGACGCCGCGUGGAGGAAGAAGGUUUUCGGAUUGUAAACUCCUGUCGUUAGGGACGAUAAUGACGGUACCUAACAAGAAAGCACCGGCUAACUACGUGCCAGCAGCCGCGGUAAAACGUAGGGUGCAAGCGUUGUCCGGAAUUACUGGGUGUAAAGGGAGCGCAGGCGGGAAGACAAGUUGGAAGUGAAAACCAUGGGCUCAACCCAUGAAUUGCUUUCAAAACUGUUUUUCUUGAGUAGUGCAGAGGUAGAUGGAAUUCCCGGUGUAGCGGUGGAAUGCGUAGAUAUCGGGAGGAACACCAGUGGCGAAGGCGGUCUACUGGGCACCAACUGACGCUGAGGCUCGAAAGCAUGGGUAGCAAACAGGAUUAGAUACCCUGGUAGUCCAUGCCGUAAACGAUGAUUACUAG
This 712-nucleotide ribosomal RNA is filed under the name uncultured bacterium. RNAcentral's name for it is "bacterial SSU rRNA". It matches the Rfam family "Bacterial small subunit ribosomal RNA", at positions 72 to 819 of the family's 1533-position model. The record is from RNAcentral.